This 203-nucleotide ribosomal RNA is filed under the name uncultured bacterium. RNAcentral's name for it is "partial 16S ribosomal RNA". It matches the Rfam family "Bacterial small subunit ribosomal RNA", at positions 117 to 331 of the family's 1533-position model. The record is from RNAcentral.
GUAAGAAUCUACCCCUUGGCGGGGAAUAGUCCACCGAAAGGUGGGGUAAUACCGCAUAACAUCGAAAGAUCAAAGGAUUUAACUGUCCACCAAGGGAGGAGCUUGCGGCCUAUCAGCUAGUUGGUGAGGUAAUGGCUCGCCAAGGCUACGACGGGUAGGGGGCGUGAGAGCGUGUACCCCCAGAAUGGCACUGAGACACGGGC